Molecule: long non-coding RNA, 3269 nt
Filed under: Sus scrofa (pig)
Lineage: Eukaryota; Metazoa; Chordata; Mammalia; Artiodactyla; Suidae
Description: lncRNA (ENSSSCG00050019325.1)
Source: RNAcentral
AUAUGGAGGCUCCCAGGCUAGAGGUCGAAUCGGAGCUGUAGCCCCUGGCCUACACCAGAGCCACAGCUACCUGGGAUCCGAGUCGAAUUUGCAACCUACACCACAGCUCACAGCAAUGCCAGAUCCUUAACUCACUGAGCAAGGCCAGGGAUCGAACCUGCAACCUCAUGGUUCCUAGUCAGAUUUGUUAACCACUGAGUCACGACAGGAACUCCAGGACUGCAAAUUUUAGAAUCCUUGCAGGAGAUGAGUGGCAAAUUCAGAAGGGAUGAUUAGAAGGGAUUGAACUCAGCAAUAAUGCAUAAGGUGUGGUCAAGGUAAGGGAAAUCAGUAAGAAUUGGAGAAGUAAUCUGGAGCUAAAUAGUGGGAGGUCACUACCACCCCUUAACCUGAAAUGGCCAAGGAAAGGAACAGUUACCUGAAACUAGCAAGACUUGUGGCUGUAGAAAAGGGCCAGCCACUCAGAUAUUUGAGAGAAGCACCCACACACCCUGGCCAAUCCCUGCCUGCCGAUCUCCUACUGGUGUCUCCCAUUGGCUGGAAGACAGAGGCAAGGGAGCGCCAGUGAUGGUGUCUGUUGAGAUCAGCCUCCUGGGGCUCUGACUAGGGUAGGAAAGGGUGGAGCCUGGAUCUGGAGGCAAAGGGAGGCCAUCCAACACACACAUCCCUCCACCUACCUAACAAGUGAGAUGGUCUCAACUCUAGAUGGUACUUUUCUCUCUCUUUUGACACAAACUGCAUUUGAAACCAUUACCAUUUGGGUAGUUGAAAAGUGGUAUUGUGUCAUUAUUAGUGAGACGGAAAAUUUUUUCUAAAGGUUCCAUUUUCUCACUUAUAAAUUGUCUGCUUAUGGCUUUUGUUUAUCCCAAAUUAUUGGUAGAUACAUGAAACAUUCCCAUGGAGCAGUAAUAAAGGUGCACAAAAGCUUUCUGUUUUUAGAAUAGUAUUGUUCUUUUGAUGCAAUUUCAGAACAUCAUUACUGAUGUGUCUUUAAAUGGUAUUAGGUAUUUUAUCCAUAAGAGUAAUAAAUAAUGACUUAUUAUGGACAAUUAUGCGAAGCAAGAAUGUCUUUCAUUGCCUUCAUCUUUAAAACUUCUUAAAAGAUUACCAUAGAUCAAGUCCAAGGGAGCUACUCCAAACUGGAUUUUUUUUUUUUUUGAAUAAAUAUUUAAUACUGAAACCUAGUGUGGAGACAUAUAAAUGGUUUUUAGCAAAAUGUUACAAUGAAUGGCAAAUUCUUAAUACUGUGGCUUUCUUAUAUUAUCACAAAUAUCAGCGAAUUCACUUGGUAUUUGUAAAGAUAUAAACUGUGAUCCUUUAUAUAUUCAGCUGUAAUUUACCUUAAAUUGAUAUCCUUUGUCUUUUUCUCUACUGUUCAUCUUUGAUUUUGUGAAUUAAUAACAGUAGCUCUAGGACAAGUUUUGUACAUAUUAUAUUCAAUUUCAAGUUUUAGAACUGGCAUUUACAUAAACUGAAACAAUAUGAAGCAACAACAGUUUCCCUUUUAAAAUCCUGUUAAGUGUAAAUCCUAAGACCUCUACACUAUACAGAGGGAAAACUUUACAUGAACAUUAUUCUUCUCUAUGAGAUGGUCCAGGGACUAGAAGAAUGGCUCCCAAGAGACCAAUGGGAAGGAUUCAUUAUACACCAAGAGAGAAGAAUGAGCAUGAGGAAAAAGUGGGGUCAUGGAACCCAUACAGUUUGUAGGGAGGGCAGACAAGACACUGGUCUAAAGGGAAGUGGGAUCAUCCUGAAGGAAGGUGAUAAGCAAAUCUGGUACCUUGGAUGGCACCAAUUAUAGAAGAUCUUGAAAGCUGAACAGGUGGUUUGAAUUUGAUUUGACAAUAAGAAACCUUCGUAUGUAACAUCAGAGAGAAGGGAACUUAGAGCUGAUGUCUAUGGACUGAAUGUUUGUGUCCCCUCAAAAUCUGUAAAUUGUAGGUAAUUAGGAAUUACCUAAUGUGGUAGAAUUUGAAGGUGGGGCCUUUGGGAGGUAAUGAAGUUUAGAUGAAUCAUGAGGAGAGAGGUCCAUGAUGGGAUUGGUGCCAUCAUAAAGGACAAAGACACCAGAACACUCCCUAUCUCUACCACGUAAGGAUGCAGCAAGCAGGUAGCCUUCUCCAAGCUGAGAAGAGGACCCUCACCAGAAUUCCUUGCUAACACCCUGAUCUUGGGCUUCCAGCCUCCAGUACAAUGGGAAAUAAAUGUGUUUUGUUUAUGCCACCUAGUCUGUGGUCAGUGAUCCAAACCAACCUCUUCUUUCUACAGAUGAGGAAUCUGGGACCUAGAAAUCAGAAGGUGUUUUCUUUUUUUUUUCUUUUUUUGUAUAUUUUUGUCCUUUUAGGGCUGCACCCAUGGCACAUAGAAGUUCCCAGGCUAGGGGUCCAACCAGAGCUACAGCUGCCAGCCUACACCAGAAACACCAGAUCCGAGUUGUGUUUGCAACUCACACGACAGCUCACAGCAACGCCAGAUCCCCAACCCUCCAAGCGAGGCCAGGGAUCGAUCCUGCAAACUCAUGGUUCCUAGUUGGAUUCGUUUCCACUGCACCACGAUAGGAACUCCCCAGAAGGUAUUUUCUGGAUAGUUGCAAUAUAAAUGAAGAUACGGAAAUAAGCAGAGAACAAGAGGAUGUUGUGAUAGCAUUAUCUCUUCUAUUUAACUUUUCAAAGAAUCCACUGAAGCUUCUUUCUUGUAGUCCAUUUAAUUCUUUCCUUGAAUUAAAUGGCUCUGGCAGCCAUUCUCUGAAUUCUCUACAGAAUCAAGGUCAUCCCUGUGUCAAGAGCCUUUGAGUAGGGCAGUUUUCCUUAUCUCUUUGAUGUCUUGGCCCUGUGAGUGCCCCCACCUGUAGAUUCGCCAGGUGCACCAAUGUCAAGUCUUUCUCAUGAUCAUUUACUCUCAAACCUUUUAAUUCCUAAGGCCUAGUUGCCACAAAAGGGUCCACACAUGCUCAUCCUGACCCUGAGCUGUGAAAUGCAUUAUGCCCCAAAGUUUUUCAAUCAUGAUUCUUUAGUUCAUCUUUUUACAGUAUUUACUGAGGUGUUUUCAAUGGUCUGAUUUCAGACAAGAGAAAUAAAGAAUAAUAAAUAAACUAAAGAAAAAAAGAGAAAAAAGACUUUCUCACUACUUUCAAAAACAAUAAUAAACAGGGAAAUCGUUAAAUCCUGUUUUGUGCUGAGUUUAUCGGAUGUUAUCUUUGCUUUACCUUGUUAUCUCACUUUGCAAACUAUUUAUUGUCAGAUUAAAAACACCAUUAAAAAAAAAAAAAA